This 365-nucleotide long non-coding RNA is filed under the name Lathyrus oleraceus (garden pea). RNAcentral's name for it is "Pisum sativum (pea) long non-coding RNA (PSAT_LNC008381)". Lineage: Eukaryota; Viridiplantae; Streptophyta; Magnoliopsida; Fabales; Fabaceae. The record is from RNAcentral.
GCUUAUUUCAUUCAUUCCUUACAUGUCAAUAUAUAGAAUAGUUUUAGGAUAGCAAACGCGGAAAUAACGGAAUACAAAAUAAGGAAGAUCUAGAGAAUAUUGCUGCAAGGUUUAGGUGAGCCACUGAUAAGCUGCCACCUCAUUUCCUCCUAACUGAAUUUGUUGAUUUAUCAUGUGAUGAAAUCUUCUAGAUACUUUGGCAUGUGGACUUCUCUCUUGGGCCUUCCCAUUGCAACAACCUAACUGAAUUUGUUGAUUUAUCAUGUGAUGAAAUCUUCUAGAUACUUUGGCAUGUGGACUUCUCUCUUGGGCCUUCCCAUUGCAACAUCAUGGGCCACUUCCACUGUGUUUUCUUCAGCCCAUUU